AUGAACGCUGGCGGCGUGCCUAAUACAUGCAAGUCGAGCGAACAGACGAGGAGCUUGCUCCUCUGACGUUAGCGGCGGACGGGUGAGUAACACGUGGAUAACCUACCUAUAAGACUGGGAUAACUUCGGGAAACCGGAGCUAAUACCGGAUAAUAUAUUGAACCGCAUGGUUCAAUAGUGAAAGACGGUUUUGCUGUCACUUAUAGAUGGAUCCGCGCCGCAUUAGCUAGUUGGUAAGGUAACGGCUUACCAAGGCGACGAUGCGUAGCCGACCUGAGAGGGUGAUCGGCCACACUGGAACUGAGACACGGUCCAGACUCCUACGGGAGGCAGCAGUAGGGAAUCUUCCGCAAUGGGCGAAAGCCUGACGGAGCAACGCCGCGUGAGUGAUGAAGGUCUUAGGAUCGUAAAACUCUGUUAUUAGGGAAGAACAAAUGUGUAAGUAACUAUGCACGUCUUGACGGUACCUAAUCAGAAAGCCACGGCUAACUACGUG
RNAcentral lists this ribosomal RNA (496 nucleotides) under uncultured bacterium. RNAcentral describes it as "partial 16S ribosomal RNA". It matches the Rfam family "Bacterial small subunit ribosomal RNA", at positions 29 to 507 of the family's 1533-position model. The record is from RNAcentral.